UCAACCGACUGAGUUGAUCAACCAGUGGAUUCACUGUCACAGACACCCUGUAGGCAGAGGGUGUCCCAAUGCACUCAGAACCCUCCCCACUGCCCUCUGCAUGAUAGCGUCUGCUCCAUCAAGAGGAAGACAUGUCCCAGUGUCCCUGCAGCCAUGGGUGGUCAUGUGGCAGAACUCUGGGACACUAGAAUAUGGAGAAAGUGUGAAUCUGGCCUCGAACAUCCCUGGUGAGGACCUCCACGCCCACUGCCUCCCCUCCCAGCCAGAUGCAAAGGAUCCAGGGAGUACCCAGGACCCCUGAAAGAUGGUAGGGCCACUGGGGAGAAGCCUGGUUCCCUAAUCACCACAGAGAAGGCCAACCUGCCAACACUCGGUUGGAUCAUGAUUUGUAGGAAAUAAAGUUUUAACUGAGUCCA
Bubalus bubalis (water buffalo) is the source of this 416-nucleotide long non-coding RNA. RefSeq lists it as uncharacterized. The record is from RefSeq and is a predicted model, not a curated record. The transcript is spliced from 2 exons. Lineage: Eukaryota; Metazoa; Chordata; Mammalia; Artiodactyla; Bovidae.